This 1336-nucleotide unclassified non-coding RNA is filed under the name Onthophagus taurus. RNAcentral describes it as "elongator complex protein 4, transcript variant X1". The record is from RNAcentral. Lineage: Eukaryota; Metazoa; Arthropoda; Insecta; Coleoptera; Scarabaeidae.
UUGGUAACGAAAAACGUCACUUCAAAAAAUCAACAUAACCUCACUCUUUUUCGCGUCGUUUUUUCGUCAAUUUGAACCAAUUCAUGCAAAAAAGGAGUAAAAAUGCAUGAAGAUCCUUCAAAAAAUUCGAUUGUGGGGACGCUGAGUCGUUUUGGAGGAUCCGAAACGCUAAUUUCGUCAGGAAUUCCUUCGUUGGAUGAACUUUUAGGGGACGGAAUUCCUGUUGGAUCCUUAGUAAUAAUCGAGGAAGAUUCUCAAGGACUUUACGCAAGAAUUGUACUCAAAUACUUCUUAGCUGAAGGCGUGGUGAAUAAACACAGUAUUUUCGUGGCUAGCCAAGAAAUCUCAUCAGAAAAAUUGAUUCACCAAUUACCACAACUCAUCGAAUCGAAACCGAAAAAUGUCGAAGAACCGAAUGUAGAACGGCCCAAAAUGAAAAUAGCGUUCCGUUACGAUAACCUUCCUACAGAACAAAAAGAACCGGAACAAAAAUUUGGUCAUUACUACGAUUUAUCAUCGGUGAUGUCGCAAAAUUAUCUCGACGAUUGCAAAAUCACCACUUGGGAUGAUACGAAAACGUUAAAAUCGAAUUCGUUUUAUAACCAAAAAUAUUACGAGUUAUUAACAUCGAUUAAAAACGAUUUGAAAUCGCACAAUGAGAAUAAUAUCCUUCGAAUUGGAAUCCAUGCGUUGGGGUCCCCCGUUUGGCAUUUAUUAGACGAAAUUAAUGAAGAAAAAGCGUUGAAAGAUUUAACCCUUUUUUUGUACGCGUUUCGGAUGAUGAUUCAAACCAAGAAAGCUGUGGGUUAUGUUACAAUUCCAGCUCAUUUAUUUGAGAAGGUGGAUCGAUUGUUGCAUUUAAGCGAUAUUUAUAUCCGGCUCCAAGCGUUCGCAGGAACCGAAUUCGCCGAUAACAAAUAUCUCUCCGAUUUUCAAGGCUUCAUCCACAUCGAUAAAUUAACCCCAAAGAACGGGUUUAAUUCGAAGAUUUCGAGCACGAUCGAGCACGUCUUUAAAUUGAGGAGGAAGAAAUUUACGAUUGAAAUGUUACAUCUUCCACCAGAUUUGGACGCGACGGAAGUUUCGGGAUUGGGAUGCGCAACGGGGAGUUCUAAAUUGGAUUUUUAAUCACCAAGUAAUUUUGGGGACAAUCUGCAUUGAAGGAAAACGAGAUUAAAAAGUAAGACGAUUUCUUUGCGAUGCAUAAUAGGAUUAAGAAGAAGACAUAAUCGAAGAAAAACCCGGUUUUGCUACAUCCCAUAGAAAUUUGGAAUGCAAUAAACAAUUUUUUUUUGUAAAAUUAAUCCAUAUUUAAUAUAAAUUAUUAUUAAUCUUA